CGGAUUGUAGGCUGAAACUACGCCUACAUGAAGCUGGUGUUGCUAGUAAUCGCGAAUCAGCAUGUCGCGGUGAAUACGUUCCCGGGCCUUGUACACACCGCCCGUCACACCAUGAGAGUUGGCAAUACCCAACGUACGUGAUCUAACCCGCAAGGGAGGAAGCGUCCUAAGGUAGGGUCAGCGAUUGGGGUGAAGUCGUAACAAGGUACC
This 210-nucleotide ribosomal RNA is filed under the name uncultured bacterium. RNAcentral describes it as "partial 16S ribosomal RNA". It matches the Rfam family "Bacterial small subunit ribosomal RNA", at positions 1294 to 1500 of the family's 1533-position model. The record is from RNAcentral.